Molecule: long non-coding RNA, 533 nt
Filed under: Elaeis guineensis (African oil palm)
Lineage: Eukaryota; Viridiplantae; Streptophyta; Magnoliopsida; Arecales; Arecaceae
Description: long non-coding RNA (EGUI_LNC031667)
Source: RNAcentral
UAUAUUUAAAAUUUAAUCAUUCUAGAGUUAACAUUUAUUUUUCAAAAUCAAUUUUGCAGUAUGUUUAGAGAGUCUGGAGUAUCUCAUGUGGUUACUGGCAUCAUCCGAUGCUUGUUGCCGGGGUCGAUGAACGAGUUCUCCAGCUAGCCAUCUGGAGCUCGUGAUGUAGCCUUGAAGAUGUUUCAGAUAAGUUUGAAAUAUUUAAUUUUUAAAUUUAUGGUAUAUUUAUAUUCUACUUAUUAAUACAUGCUUCGAUUUUAUCUGACAGGAGUACUAUCAUUUCGAGACUCUCCAGGAUAGGAGGCUGGCCGUCGGACCUUCAAUGAAGUAGCUACAUGGAGGCUUCGAGAUGGCCUCUACAGCCUCAGGCAGUCUACCAUCGAGCAUUUUGGUUCUCAGUCACCAUUGGACUAAAGGUUCUACAGGGAUCACUAAAUGCAGAUGGACAUAUGGGAGGCCCUCUAUAAUCAGUGGAGCAACGAGAAGUACUCCAGUAGGUGGCAGAGGGCCCAACAGAACUGACCACCCAGUAG